This is a long non-coding RNA of Xenia sp. Carnegie-2017, 1637 nucleotides long. RefSeq lists it as uncharacterized. The transcript has 5 exons. NCBI's taxonomy places the organism in Eukaryota, Metazoa, Cnidaria, Anthozoa, Malacalcyonacea, Xeniidae. The record is from RefSeq and is a predicted model, not a curated record.
AGGUGGUACUGUCACACGCCGGACUAUGGAUAUACCUCUCUCUCGAUCCCGAUCUUAGUUAGGUUACGGAAUAGGCUCCUUAUCGUGCAGGCCGAGAAGAUAGAGAAGAAUAAAAGGGAAGUUGUUAUUUCUGUAUUUCAAUUAUAUGACUGUUUUGAUUUCUUCCUAAUUGUAUUUUGUCUCUUUAAGCACUUUUUGUUUAAGCUCAUGCAAAAUGAAGAAGGUGAUGGAUUUCGUUUGUGUGUGGACUCCCAUAAAAGAAAGAAGAACAUGCUGCAAUAAAUGAAAGGAGUUGUAACGUCAAAAACUGAAAUGAAAGCAACUAAAGCUGUGAUGCAAAUCGAUAGUGGAGCUAAAUGACAAUGAGGGGUAAAUUACUCUGACAAAAGCGUACAAAGAUUUCCUAGGUUGUUGUAAUAUUAUGGAAAAUUUCCAGAGAAUUUUUUUAAGUGAUAUUUUUUUCGUGUAGAAAUUAUUAGCAGCUUAUGUACUGUUUGAAGAAAGAAUUAUUUCAUUUCAACAUGUUUUUUAAAGACAUUUCUAACUUUUGAAAAUUUCCCAGGAAUUUUUAUAAAUUAGUCCGAAAAUAUGAGUUUUAUGACUGUAAUGUUUGUUGAAUUUUUGGUGAUUUUCACCAAAAGUACGAUAACUUGGAGUAAUUUACCCCGCGUUGAUGAAUACGUUUGGACCAUCUAAGCAAUGGAGUUAAAGAAAAAUAUGUUGUGAACAUCUCAGCAGUUGGACUAAAUGACUAUUUCAAUGAAAUGUUGAUGUUAUUGGGGAAGAAACUGGGCAAAGUCUUAAGAGAUUAUGGACUAUAGAUGAAAAACAGAAUUGAUAUUGCUUUUGAGAUGACUCAUCGUCAAAGAUUGUAAGCAGUGGAGUUCAAUGUAAUGAACAUUGGUGCGCUACAAAUGCAAAAGAAGUGUGUUAGAAAGAAGUAAAGUCAAUGGACUCUGGCUGCAAAUGGAGUAAUUGGGAAAAAAUUGCACGUUAUGUCAGCAGAUAAUGGACAACAAACAUGAUAUUGCUUUUGAGAUGACUCAUCGUCAAAGAUCGUAAGCAGUGGAGUUCAAUGUAAUGAACAUUGGUGCGCUACAAAUGCAAAAGAAGUGUGUUAGAAAGAAGUAAAAAUCAAUGGACUCUGGCUGCAAAUGGAGUAAUUGGGAAAAAAUUGCACGUUGUGUCAGCAGAUAAUGGACAACAAACAUGAUGCCGAUACAAGUGAAAUUGAAGUGAAACGAUGAUAAUAAUUGCUGUUAAUGGUAAAUUGUUCAAGGAAAACCAGCCCAGAAUGAUGUUCAGUGAAUAUUGCUCGUGGUAAUAGAUAUAGUUUGGCUCCACUAUAAGUAUAAUUGUCAAUCUAAAUAAAGUUGGAAGUUCCCCUUCCUUCCUACUUUAUUUAGAUGAAGUUUAAGUUAAAUGCUUUGUCUGUCAAAAUUGCCCCACACAAUUUUGAUAGAUAAAUGCAAUAAAAUAAUAUUGUAAAUUGUCUUUUUGUCAAUAGUUUAAAGUAAUUAUUAUACUCCUGUAAUGAUCAUAAUGAAUUGAUAGACUGUAGAUAAACACCGGAAUAAGAAUUGAAGUAAUAUGAAUAAUUUAAAUGAUUUACUGAAUAAUUUGUAUAAUUUGAUGAA